AGGAGACUACGGGUGACAAACCGGAGGAAGGUGUCGNGNGGGUCAAGUCAGCAUCCCCCUUAAUUAUUGAGCGACACACGUACUACAAUGGUCGAACAAAGGGCAACGAACUCGCGAGAGCCAGNGAAUCCCAGCAAACCCGGCCUCAGUUCAGAUUGCAGGCUGCAACUAGCCUGCAUGAAGGAGGAAUCGCUAGUAAUCGCCGGUCAGCAUAAGGCGGUUAAUUCGUUCCCGGGCCUUGUACACACCNNCAGUCACACCAUGGAAGGAGGUCACUCCUGAAGUCAUUACCUCAACNCAAGGUGGGGGAUCNUANGNAAUGUCUUUUGGCANAAUUAGAC
RNAcentral lists this ribosomal RNA (341 nucleotides) under uncultured bacterium. RNAcentral's name for it is "partial 16S ribosomal RNA". It matches the Rfam family "Bacterial small subunit ribosomal RNA", at positions 1143 to 1487 of the family's 1533-position model. The record is from RNAcentral.